GACGUAGGGCGCGAGCGUUGUCCGGAUUUAUUGGGCGUAAAGAGCUCGUAGGCGGCUUGUCGCGUCGUCCGUGAAAACCUGCGGCUCAACUGCAGGCUGGCGGUCGAUACGGGCAGGCUGGAGUUCGGUAGGGGAGACUGGAAUUCCUGGUGUAGCGGUGAAAUGCGCAGAUAUCAGGAGGAACACCGGUGGCGAAGGCGGCUUCCUGGACCGACACUGACGCUGAGGCGCGAAAGCUAGGGGAGCAAACGGG
This 253-nucleotide ribosomal RNA is filed under the name uncultured bacterium. RNAcentral describes it as "partial 16S ribosomal RNA". It matches the Rfam family "Bacterial small subunit ribosomal RNA", at positions 524 to 776 of the family's 1533-position model. The record is from RNAcentral.